CGACAGUUGGCAACACUACACGCCCGCCAUUCAACUUGACUCUGUAAUAUCCGGUACGCCAGCACGCUCGGCCAUUUUUGCCGUGUUCGUUUCGGUGAGAGGACGUUCUUCAUCUCGCUGCUGUGACGAUCUUUCGGCAUGGUUAACGGAAGAAUUCCGUCGGUCUUCUCCAAGACCUACGUCACGCCCAGACGGCCAUACGAGAAAGCUCGUCUCGAUCAGGAGUUACGCAUCAUCGGAGAAUAUGGUCUCCGUAACAAACGCGAAGUCUGGAGGGUCAAGUAUACCUUGGCCAAGAUCCGCAAGGCCGCUCGUGAGUUGCUCACGUUGGAAGAGAAGGACCCGAAGCGGCUUUUCGAAGGAAAUGCCCUGUUGCGUCGUUUGGUAAGGAUCGGUGUAUUGAAUGAAGCCCAUAUGAAGCUCGAUUAUGUGUUGGGUUUAAAGAUUGAGGACUUCUUGGAGCGACGCCUGCAGACUCAAGUGUUCAAGUUGGGUCUUGCUAAGUCCAUCCAUCAUGCUCGUGUGCUCAUUCGCCAACGGCAUAUUCGGUACCAGGACUAUGGAACCUGAUCGACCAGACCUGGUUGAUCACAUUCACUGAGCCAAGAAUUCAAUUGUGUUAACUUAAUGAAAAUUUUAUUCGCGCAGGCCACUUGAGUGUCGUUCAUCGGCACUUAACGCCUGUUGAACUGUCGGGAGUCUUCGUUCUCAUCGAGAAAGAGGGAUAGAGUUUCGCGUGCGCAAACAGGUGGUGAACAUCCCAUCGUUCAUCGUACGACUGGACUCGCAGAAGCACAUCGACUUCUCGCUUAAGUCACCCUUCGGCGGAGGCAGACCCGGUCGUGUUAAGAGGAAGAACCUGAGAAAGGGAAGCGGUGGUGCCGCACCGGAAGAGGAAGAGGAUUAAAAUAAUCGGUAUUGACGCCAUUUAUUAUAUCAAUAAAUGUGUGGCGGGUGAUAAUCGA
RNA transcript from Solenopsis invicta (red fire ant), 965 nucleotides. It is a transcript of the gene named 40S ribosomal protein S9, with no coding region annotated. NCBI's taxonomy places the organism in Eukaryota, Metazoa, Arthropoda, Insecta, Hymenoptera, Formicidae. The record is from RefSeq and is a predicted model, not a curated record. The transcript has 5 exons.